RNAcentral lists this ribosomal RNA (416 nucleotides) under uncultured bacterium. Its description in RNAcentral is "bacterial SSU rRNA". It matches the Rfam family "Bacterial small subunit ribosomal RNA", at positions 566 to 985 of the family's 1533-position model. The record is from RNAcentral.
GGAGCGUAGGCUGGAGAUUAAGUGUGUUGUGAAAUGUAGACGCUCAACGUCUGACUUGCAGCGCAUACUGGUUUCCUUGAGUACGCACAACGUUGGCGGAAUUCGUCGUGUAGCGGUGAAAUGCUUAGAUAUGACGAAGAACUCCGAUUGCGAAGGCAGCUGACGGGAGCGCAACUGACGCUGAAGCUCGAAGGUGCGGGUAUCGAACAGGAUUAGAUACCCUGGUAGUCCGCACAGUAAACGAUGGAUGCCCGCUGUUGGUACCUGGUAUCAGCGGCUAAGCGAAAGCAUUAAGCAUCCCACCUGGGGAGUACGCCGGCAACGGUGAAACUCAAAGGAAUUGACGGGGGCCCGCACAAGCGGAGGAACAUGUGGUUUAAUUCGAUGAUACGCGAGGAACCUUACCCGGGCUUGAA